Nannospalax galili (Upper Galilee mountains blind mole rat) is the source of this 141-nucleotide small nucleolar RNA. Lineage: Eukaryota; Metazoa; Chordata; Mammalia; Rodentia; Spalacidae. The record is from Ensembl.
UACAUGAGACCCUGUCUCAAAAAAUCAAAAACCAAACCAAACCUGAAAACUCAAAGGACAAUGUGGUAGAAAUUCAGUAUUUGGCAUAGUUGGUUUUCUGGGCUUGUACAUGUUAAAUCUGGUAUUUGAAGCAAUAAAGUA